RNAcentral lists this long non-coding RNA (2084 nucleotides) under Eucalyptus grandis. RNAcentral's name for it is "long non-coding RNA (EGRA_LNC002854)". Lineage: Eukaryota; Viridiplantae; Streptophyta; Magnoliopsida; Myrtales; Myrtaceae. The record is from RNAcentral.
UCCAUCUUGCUGCCGUGAGCUGCUCCUCUUCCUUUCCAUCUUUUUCUUCGUGCGACACCUCCAACAGAAACUGAAGAAGACCAAGUUGCUCCCUUCGAAAAUUUUCCUUCGUCCGCCAGCUGAACCGAAGACCAAUCCACCGAGAUUUUGGUCAGUCUCGGCAAGAUUGUUGACCGCGUGCAGCUCCACUACUUCGUGUCUCCUCCAGCAGCGUUGAAGACUUACCGAAGCUGCUCCUCACGUCCGCGUCUUCAACUUCGGUCCAAAGCCAGUGAAGCAGCGCCGAACGAAGCCGCCACUGCCUCCUGCACCCACGCAUCCAACCGAAGACUACAAGCUUCUUCGUGUCUUCAAUUUGCUGGUCAACAUCUCCUUCCACUGAAGAAGCCGCACGUCCGAGGACUUCAGCGACUUGAAGACCCUAGCGAAGACCACUCAUCUUCAGUCUUCCUUCGUGCCUUCAAAUCAGUUCACCGAAGGCAGCAUCAACCGGUCAACUGACCGAAUACCACACGACCAGCUGCCCCGAAGGUUUCCACGAAGCCAGUGGUUGAUCACCCUUCGCAACUUCUCUCUCUAUCUCUUGCGGAUCGUCCCCAACAGCGUCCCAGUUCGGCCACGAAUCCGCACGCCCCUGCUCCACCGCUUCUUGCCGUUUGUUGACUGAAGACCUUCAACCCUCCACGCGUCCGAGUCCGUUCUUGGCUCGGUCAACAGCGGCAGCAACCGAAGCUGCUUGGUUGACCGCAAAAGCCCCACCCGUGCACAGAUCCGUCGCCAGCAGCUGCUUCUCACGUUCCCUCUCUAGCACCAUCACCGACGCUGCUUCAGUCUUCUUGUUCGGGGCCCAGCUCGUGCAAGUAGCUCCUUUGGGCCACCGAAACCAGCAGUCCCACGAAGCUUCUGCACAAGCCCCGCAAGUCAGCCCAGUCGAAUCUCACCAGUAGCAGCCCAUCAGCAGAAUUUUAUUGAGGCCCAUCUCCUGCAGUCUUCAAGCCCAGUCCAAUCCAAGUGAAUUAAUUGGUCAAGCCCAUUUCAGCAGGCCCAAUCCAACUUGGGUCUGGCCCAAAAGCAAGAACAAAUCUCAGUUGGGCUGAGAUUUGUUGGGCCAAGCCUAAGGCCCGGUCCAAGUCCGCCGGUGUCGUCGAAAGUCCUAUUUCGGCCGCCGUCGCGUCGCCGAUGCAGUGAUUCGGUCUCCGCUUUUGUCAAGUGAGUUUUACUCACUAAAGCUUUAUUAGUUUGCUAAUUAUACUUAAGGUUGGUUAGAUUUAAUUAAAUGCAAUUAGGUGGUUAGAUUAGUUUAGAUCAAUUAAAUUAGAGACUUAAUGAUGCAUGUUAGGUGGUUAGAAAUAGACAUUAGCAAGUAGACAUGCCAUGUUAUUUAUGGAGCGAGUCUCGGUAAUUUUUCGGGCUUGUCUCGGUAUCCAAUUCGGCAUUAUGAGCCUAAAUUGGAUUUUUAUAAUUAUUUAUUUAAUUUUCGAAAUUAAUUAUUUAAUUAUUUAUUUUUCCGGAAAUUCAACCAGGAUGGCCGGUGACUGGAAUUUCGUGCUGAUUGUCGUGGUGCAGUCCGUUUAUUUAUUUGAGCUUUAUUUGGUGCUAAAGUAAUUUAUGAGUGAAUUUAAGAUUUAUUCUUGAAUUGAAUCUUGAGAGGGUCGGGUGGGACCGUAAAGCCACUAGUUCUUGAGAGGGUCGGGUGGGACCGUAAAGCCAUUAGUUCUUGAAAGGGUCCGACUGAUGCGAAAUCGACUAGGUCGAUUCGAUCGAUGCUUCGAUCGGUGAUGUGAUUGUUUGAAUGCCUAUUGAACUGUACUAAUAUGCAGAUGGAAUUUGAGGCCAAGGUAAGUCCUCCAACUCGUGCCGUGUUUAGGCAGCCUAUAGUGUAUUGGCUUUCUAAUCGAGUCUUAGGGGGUAGGACUCGCUGAGACGUGGUCUCAUUGGUUAUUGAAUAACCAUUUCAGGACCCUAAGGAGAAGCUAAGGAAGAGGAACCUGAAGGGGAGAAAGACUUUUGAAGAAGAAGACGAUCCUGAGAGGGAUCUUGAAUAUAACCUGGAUGUGGACUGAGAUCCCAUCCCUUUUGUAAAC